This 21-nucleotide non-coding RNA is filed under the name Caenorhabditis elegans. Lineage: Eukaryota; Metazoa; Nematoda; Chromadorea; Rhabditida; Rhabditidae. The record is from RNAcentral.
UAAAGUAGACGUUGCCAUGAU